This 420-nucleotide ribosomal RNA is filed under the name uncultured bacterium. RNAcentral's name for it is "bacterial SSU rRNA". It matches the Rfam family "Bacterial small subunit ribosomal RNA", at positions 29 to 494 of the family's 1533-position model. The record is from RNAcentral.
AGCGAACGCUGGCGGCAGGCUUAACACAUGCAAGUCGAACGCCCGUAGCAAUACGGGAGUGGCAGACGGGUGAGUAACACGUGGGAACGUGCCCUUCAGUUCGGAACAACCCAGGGAAACUUGGGCUAAUACCGGAUACGUCCGUAAGGAGAAAGAUUUAUCGCUGAAGGAUCGGCCCGCGUCUGAUUAGCUAGUUGGUGAGGUAACGGCUCACCAAGGCGACGAUCAGUAGCUGGCUGAGAGGACGAUCAGCCACACUGGGACUGAGACACGGCCCAGACUCCUACGGGAGGCAGCAGUGGGGAAUCUUGGACAAUGGGCGCAAGCCUGAUCCAGCCAUGCCGCGUGAGUGAUAAGGCCUUAGGGUUGUAAAGCUCUUUCGGUGGGGAAGAUAAUGACGGUACCCACAGAAGAAGCCCC